This is a long non-coding RNA of Passer domesticus (house sparrow), 3475 nucleotides long. RefSeq lists it as uncharacterized. The record is from RefSeq and is a predicted model, not a curated record. The transcript is spliced from 2 exons. NCBI's taxonomy places the organism in Eukaryota, Metazoa, Chordata, Aves, Passeriformes, Passeridae.
AGCGCGCGCGGCGCUGAGGGGGCCCGGCGGGGUCCGCCCGAGGGGGCGGCUCGGGCCGCGGCGCUGGCGGGGGAGCGGCAGCGGCGGCAGCCGCGCCGCUCUGAUGAGUCACGCGAAGGCAGCCAGACGCGUAGGUUCCUCACAGGAACCCGGAGGAAACCUGAGCGCAACAUCGCUCGUUACCUAAUCCCUGCCUCCUUCGGGGCUUCCCUGGAGCUUCCGCCGCCGCCGGCGGCGCCUCCGCGGCCGCCGUCCCCUCAGGGGCUCGCCCCGCCGUGAGGGGACGGCGCUGUCCCGCCGAGCCGCGGCCCGGGCCGGGGCCAGCAGCAGCCUCGGAGAGCGGGCUCGACAUCGGAAUGUUUGCGUGAGGGGAAGUGGCCACGAGAAAGGAAGAGGCCACGAACAAAAGAGAUCCUGAUUACAGCAAGAAAUGAAAUGAAGAACGUGGAAGUCAUGGCUGUGCAGCAGUUUGGUUCAAGCCUGAGCCACGGUAAAAUAUUCCCACUUACUAAGACAUAAAACAUAAAAUUAUCCUGCUGGAUUAAAUCCUUUGUCCUUCAGAUCCAGCCUUUCAUCUCUGUUGUUGCCACCACAGGAUAAAGGAGAAGUUGAAAGCAGAGCUUUGACUGUCCUUGACCAAGGACUUUGCAGCAGGUGAGGGCUGAAGCCCCACUCUGGUGUAGCACUGAAAGCUGCAUUUCUCCUCCAGCAUCCACUGCCUGUGUCCUGCUCUGAGCCUGUGCUGAGCACAGUGCUGCAUCCAACCUCCUUAAAAUUCAGGUACACACAAAGCCAGAUGAGUGAUCCACAUGCCUGUCAUUAAAUGUGCUGUGCUAGAGGCUCUCAUUUCAUUGUCUUUUUACCCAGGGUGAAAAGAUGGAGCUGUAGCCCCCACAUCCACCCCCCACCCAAAAAAACCCCAAACAAAAAAGCCCCAUCCCCAAAGCUGAAGCCACUUCUUAUAGAAAACAUAGAUUUUUAUUAUAAAAGUACAAUUAGCCAUAUACAAAGGAUUUUUAUGCCACAGAAAUUUGCAUGUUGCAGUCUUAAUAUUAAAAUAAAGUCCUGACCAGGAGCUGAAGUUGAGAGUCUCUCAGGCUGCCUUUGGCUGCACGUUCACCCUGCCACUGCUCCCCUGCAGGUUUGUAACCUGAUCCCACUUUGGGAUCACUUUGGGAUCACUUUGGGAUCACUUUGGGAUCACGGCUGCUUCUCCUCCUCUGUCCGUGGCCGUUUGCGAGGGUUCAGCUCAGUCCCUUCUGUGCUGGCAGGGACAGCUGCAGGCUGCACGUCUCGGAAGCCAUGGGACUGGAAGAUGAAAGGAAAAUCAUGUGCUAAGGCUUGUAGGGAUAGAAAGCAUGAGUAACCAGCUCCCAGGAGAUCAGAAUGAAGGAUCAUGCUGCCAUUUAUUGGGGAGGAGCAGCCACUGAAUGUUUAUAGACCAGGUUAAGCUCAGCACUGCAAACUUUACAACACAUGUGCCAACUCAUGUCUGCUCAUUUUGUUUUUUUAAAGAUAUUUUCUUUUCACCAACCAGACUAUCACUUUCAUUUACUGUUUAUCACCCCUAUGGCUAUGAAAAACUGCUUCUCUGUAAAUUAACUUAUGUUGCCUAUUUAAAUAAAUCAAAAGACAAAUCCAUCAGCUCCCACAGAAGCAAGGAGAUGACUGGAUUAAUUGCCUCAGUCAUUUUCAGAAACAAAACUGUGAAUUUCUACAACCUAGGAUAUUUUUGUUCCAUGUACCUACUUAAUGAACUGAAAACAUCAAUGAGACAUUGUAAGGGAACAGCAGAGCUGAAUCUGUCUCUAGACUGCAAAGACUGUUCCAGCAUAGUAAUUUAUGGGACACAAUGGGAUGAAAACCUUUGACUGCCAAAAACUAAAUGUAGAAGUGAAAACUACAUGCUGCUACUCAGAGGAGUGCUUGAAGUGAUCUAUCUGGCCUAGUACCACUUAUAUUUUCCGUUACUGUAGCUCACAAUUUAAUUUUUAACCAUUUUAAAAUAUGAAAGAUCUCAAAGUCAGUUAGCUAAACAUGCCAUGGAUGCAGAUGGAGAUGAGAUGUUGUGUGAAGCCUGCAACUCUCUGAGUUCCCAUCUCCAGACAAGUGUGUGCAGAGAGCACUGCUGACAGCUCAGUGAAGACUCUCAGUGCAGACUCAGAGAGGAGAAGGCAUUAAUCAGAACACAAAAUUGCUCUGCUGAUCCAAAAUGCUCAGGUAGAGACAAUGUGGGGACGAGAGCAUUUCAGGAACGCUGACAUUUUGGGUUGGUGCAGUGUGAGGAAAGCAGGCAGAAUUACCAUCAGAGGUGACUCUUCCCAAAUGCCAGUGUGUCCCACACCAAGACCAAUCCCAAACCCCAGUAAAUGUCUUGUUUGAGUCUCCCACCCCUGUAUUUCUAUUUCUGAAUGCCUCACCUCACCCAACCCGGGCUUUUUAAAGGAACAAACAGCAAGAGCUGCUACAAGGGCAGGAUCUGUGCAACCCCUCUGCUAUUUAUAAGCAACUCAAGUGUUAUUCUAAAGAGCAUAAUGGGGAAUCUUCAAGUUUAAUGUUUCACUACAUCUAAUCUCUGCCAUUUCCCUGAGGCACAAAGGUGGAUCUGUAGCCAAGUAUCCACUUAAUCCAGAAUGCUGACUCCCAGUGAAAGCAUUCCAAGGGUUACAAGGGCCAGAACAUAAAGCAGGCUGCCCAGGAUGGAUGUUUUGCACUUGGCUACAGGCAGGCACCUUGAAAAGACAAGAAUUUUGUGUAUAUUUGUGAGGUUUGGUAGUGGCUGCUGGAACCAAGGACAAAACUCAGUCUUUCAUUUUGAAUUUCUCCUUAAUGUCCUCUGGAUUUACACCUCUACAGCAAGACUGGCAAGGGUAGAUGUGUUUAUUACCUGAGCAGUGCUCCCACUGCUGGCCUGGCAGACCCUCCACAGCUCAGGGAAACAAUUCCUACCUGGAAUUUAGAUCCUGGGUCUCUGUCUUUCACUAUGAAAUAAUCAGGUCACAUUCCUGGGAAAUUCAGGUGAAUCAGCUGAGCUACUUACUCCCUUGUGCAUAAAUCAAUUUCCAUUGCUAUACUCUGCAUUUAAGAAUGAAUCCUUAUCAGCUUGUGGAAGAAAGGAUUUCAGGGGAGAGGAGUUCCACAGCCCCCUCAGAGUGGUGACUGACUCCAGUGCUGGAAAGGACAGGAUAAAAAAAGCCCAGAGCUCACUCAUGAAUUUACACAUUUCAUCAGCUCAUGGGUACUGAGCAGCCACUUUGCCAAUGGCACCAAUGCACCUCAUCUGCACAAUUCUAAGGAAUUAUUAUUUUUUUAAAUGUCUUUCUUUUUGUUUGCUGGUUAUACACAAAUCUGACUUGGAAACACUGGACAAAUAUUGGCAUCUUUCAGUUUAACUAUGGAAUGAAAAAUGGUAACAGCAGACUGUUGUCAGACCUGGAUUUCAUGAAAGAAAUGGAGAUAAUACAAUUUUUUACUA